GGGGUAGCUGAUGACUUUUUUUUGCAUAAAAGAACUAUUCUAUUAAACACAUCCUAAAGGAAUCCUUCUUCUUUUAAUUAGCUCAAGGUGAAAGUAUCACUUCCUAUUAUCUAGGUUUGCACCUACACUAUGGCAAACAAAUGUAAUAAUAUGAUGGUACCUCAUUGUUGGGUAUUCUUAACAUCAUCACCAGAAGUAGACUAAGUUCUCUAAAUCUAGUAACGGUGCCAAAAAUGCCAAACCUAUCCCUCACACCACUUAAGCCAAGUUGUCAUCCCCAGCAUGAUAUGAGAGACGCGGUAUUGAAAUAUGCAAAUGCUCUUCUAAAUAAAUAAUGAAUGGGAUCUCCAAGCGCACAGAUUAAUACCGAUGCAGCAUUUUAACCGGGAAGUAUUCCAUGUAUCGUUAUUUAUAUUUUUACCACUGGGAAGGGAUUAGAAAUCAUCACUAUUGAUUACAGAAUAGAAUAUGAGAUUGAGCAUCUAUCAUUGCAUGUAUAAUUGAGAACAUUAUAUCUAACUCUUCAUACAGAGAUAAGUGUCACAUAAAAGUUAUAUGAAAUAAUAAUAGUGACAAGGAUAACUAAUCUGAUCUAGCCACAUAAUAAAUAUGAUAAGCACCUCAAUUAGAUACUCUAGAAAGUCAUUAGCAUGGUAUUAGAACGAACUACAAGAAUAUUCCCUAAAUUAUUCUUAACUAUAUAGUCUAGCAUCAUCAUAGUUAGUGCAAGCAUACUUAGCAAUCAUUGUGAGACAAGACUAUGCCCAUGCAUAGUGAUAUUAGCAAGGAAUAUGAGAAACAUAGCAAUCACUCCCCUGUAAUAAUGUUGCUCUGCCAGCCCACUACACGAGAGGGGGACUAUAUAAGAAUCAAUGAAGCUGUCACUAUCACGAACCACCCCACGAUCUGGCAUAUUGGGUACAAUCGCAGAUAAAUACGGUAUAAGCACCACGCCUACACAAUAUCUAUCAUUUACCCAUGGAUCCGAUGGAUAAACGCUAUAUGAUCCUAAGCAUGUAUAUAGAUCCAAUCUAGCUAAGCCAAGUACAUAACUAUGAUAAACUAAGAACAAUAUAAUCUUGAAUAUAAGCAAGUAGAGCAAAGUCAUAAGCAAUAUAUUGAAGUAGAACAAAGUCAUAUUCAUAAUAUUGAAGAACAAAGAUAAUUAGAAAGUAAUUAGAAGCACAAUUAGAGAAUUACCAAGAAUCCUCCUAACAGAUCUGGAAACCAAUCGAAGAUUGACUCCUUCUAGUUCUAAUCCUAUGUAGCUAUGCUAAUCUAGAUGUCUAAUUGAUGCGGUGGCUCUAAUCUUGAUCAGAGGCUUCUUCUCCCUUGAUGGAACAAUGAAUUAGGGUUGAGAGGCUCCCUCCUCCAGGGGCCAGGGGGUCUGGUUUUAUAGUCCCUCCAAGUGACUAUGGGCCCUUGGAUCAAACCGACAUAGAUUGUAUGGUUUAGAUUCAUCCUUUAGGUCGGUGGAGAUCUCCCGCAAAGCAGAGUCCUGAUUGGACUCAGGGGCAAGGCGGGAGCCCUGACCAACUGGGUGGCCGCCCAGGGUCAGGCCCCGUUUCGCCUCCGCUUCGGUCUCGUGGCUUCUGGAGUCUUCUAGAUGUAAGAUAAUUGCGCAGCACGUUAAUAUCUUUACGUAAUCCCGACAUGUGGGCCUUUCUUCCAUAUUUCCUGAUAACCCCCUGCAAAAAUAGACAAACACCAAAACUCGUGGAAUUCUGUCAGAUACAACCCUAAGUCUGGAUCUUGAUUUCAUUUGGAUCCUUUUCUUUAUUUAUUUGAUAAUUAAAUUUGAUACUUAAGGACCGUCAACAAACUCCCCCAAGCUUAGCUCUUGCUCGUCCCUGAGCAAGGAUAGACUCAGCUAUGGAUCAUAAGUUGUUGCUAUAUUUAAAAAUUUGACGGUACACAUGCUUUUAAAUAAGAUCUCACCUCUGAGUUAGAGUAAACAGUCAAGACCUAAAACUUACUUACUUUACCUUCACCAUGGGACUUGUAACCGUCACUUCUGUCUUGUGUGGUUAAAAGAUAGAACAGUCUAGCCAAGUGCCAUGUCUCUUAUUCUUGAUCAGCUAUAGCUCUGGGGUUUUUUUUUGCAGAUUUUCAAAUAAAACUCAGAAAUUCCUUGUAUGAUUCUCUCAGGUCUCUCUUUUGUGGUAUUUUUGGAUCCUUACCAAGGCAGUGAUGGUAUAUGCCUUCUCUCAAGAUAUAUAGUAUUUCUGGUAUAAGGCAUAGUGACAUUGCCUUCUCUCUCACCCUACUCUAAUAAGGCUUGAAUAUCUGGAGCUCAUAGGUGGGAGAUAAAAUAUACAUACUUACAAGACAUUUAUUGCAUAGUCAAACCAUGGAUCCAAAGUAACAAAUCAAUAAGCCAAAUCAAGAUGUGCAUGUGUGGCGAAUGAAUGGUGUAUGGUGAUGAUGGUGAUAACAAUGGUGAAAACAAUGGUGGUGGAAGUCUAAUUCUACUUUUGCUCUUUGAGGGGAAACAUACCUUUCUUGCUUUUUAAACUUUAUGAGGAGAAUGAGAUGCUCUUCUUUUUCACUUUUUUCUUUUCUUUCAAGGUUCCGAGCACUUGCUCCUUUUUAUUUCCUCGUAUCUCUUUUUUUUUCUUUUUUUCUUUUAUUUAUUUUUUUUUCAGAGCAUUCAUCUCUUGAGAUAAUAUAGCAAGUGGUAGUAACAAGAUAACUUGAGCUUUUAUUUCAUAAGGGGAAAACAGAAAUAUUUUUGGUUAUUCUCUCCUAGAUUAGGAGUAGAAUAUUUUUGGGUAAUUCUGGAGAUGGAAUGGGUGGAUAUAUGUGGAUGGUACUUCCGGAGUAGAAGUAGCAUAUAUGAGUGAACGUGCAAGUGAAAUCUUGAUUUAACCACAUGACAAGCUCCUAAGGGUCUACACAGCUUGACCACACUCAAUGCUCAUAAGCAGUAAAUAAUAAAUGUGUGGCUCAAAGUCUAACAAGCAUGUAUAUAUGGCUGUGGUAGGAAUUUAAACUCUCAUCAUACAGAUACUCAUCAUGCAACAUUUUAAAGAUUUUCAAAGAUAAAAUUCUCCAGAAUUCUUGCAUCUCUAGGAACAGAUAAACAGCAGCUCAACCUUCCCAUAUCAUAUCCGUUAACAACUUAGACUUCAGAUCAAGCUUUCAUCCCACAAGUUUAGGUCUAGAGCAAGCUUUAAAUUAUAACAGAUAUAUCUAAACUUGAGAGAGAACUUAAAAUUUGCAAAUUAGGCAGAGCAACUAUUUAUCAUAUCCAUGCUUAAGUUUUAUUUAGAUACAGAUUAGCAUAGCCACUUUAUUUAUUUAUUAAACACACUAAGCAAAAGACAUAUAUAUAUAAGCAUAAACUCUUUAUUUGGUUUUCCAUAGUUUAUGUGUAUUUAUAUUGUAAAAUAAUAUAAGUAUAAAGAUAGAUAGAAAAACUUAUCGAGAUAAAUGGGGGUGCUCUCCCCCAAGCUGAAUUUUGACGUAAUUUCUCUUGAUGUAGCUAGCAGGUGGCAGAGGUGUAUUUGAAAGUCAGCAGCAUUCUGACAGCGAUUAGAAUGUCCUCCGUCUGCUAGUCUUCUUGAUUCUUAAAUUCUGUGGAGCUCAAAUAGACAACAAAGCUUGUGGAACUGAUUAAGUGUUAGCAUAAAUAUCUAGCCUUUAUCAUGUUGAGACUCCUUAAUAAUUAUUACUCCCUGUUUUUAUAUUUUUGUUUUUAUAAAGCAGAAAAAUAUUUAUUUUAUUUUUAUGCCACCACAGUGAAUGUACUUAUGGGUUUUAUGCCACUCGUCUACUCACAUGGGGCUUACUGUUUUUCACAUUUUUAUUUUCUUUUUAGGAUAAUACGAACAUGAUUAACUAAGUAAACUAUUUGAAAUAAUUGAAAGGGAAAGGAUAACUACCAAGUUUACCUCUUGGCAAGGCGUUCGGUGUUUUUAAGUCCUCCGAACGGGACUCUCCAUUUUCUUAAUCGUCCUGAGGCUCGUUGGGUGGCGUAGUCGGUACUUCCGGCAGCGCCUCCUCUUCUUUUAUAGUUAUCUUCAUUUUCCACACCUGACUUGGUGCUUCAAUCUCCUCUGGAUAAUUAUGUUUAAACUCAACGUCUUCUGACCUUACAACUUCUCCUUCAUAGUCUGCCCAUCCGUCCUUGAUGAUCUGCCUCCUCUGGUUGCGGUUGCGUCUCUUUCUGACCUGCUUAGAUUCUUCAAUGAUAUAGUUAGGGUCAGUAAAAUAACGGCGUACCUUCUCUGAGGGGAAGUGCAUAUGGACUUCUCCGGUUCCAAUGUAGAUAAUUGCUUUAACGGUGCUGAGGAACGGUCUUCCAAGGAUGAUGGGUGGAUCAUACUCAUCUUCUCCCAUGUCAACAACUUGAAAGUCUGUGUAGACAAAGUGAUCGUCUAUUUUGACUUGGACAUCAGAUACUAUUCCUUUAACUUCUCAGAAUGUCUGAUCUGCCAUCUGGAGCUGAAUGUAUGUUGGUCUUAGUGGCAUGGUCCCGAACAAGAGCCGAUAGGUGACUGCGGCCAUUAUGUUGACGCCCGAUCCGGUGUCGCAAAUCGUCUUGUAGAAGUUGUAUCCAUUUAUGGAGCAGUAGAUGCUUGGCAUUCCUGGGUCAUCCUUCUUGGUCAAAAACGGUGACUUAAGUUGAUGAUCUUGGCCUCCAUGGACUACAGUGACCAUCUUAGCUGACUCGGUCCACACUUGCUUGUUCCUGUUUCUCCUGUUGGUCCUCUUCCUUGAUUUACGUCUGGAUUGAUCUUGAAUUUGUGUAGUCUUGUUCUUGAAGAAAAAUGUCUCCUUCUUCCCUUUGACGUAGAAACUGAUCUUGGCAGCACUGGCGUAGAUGAUAGCUCCCGUGGUGUUCAAGAAUGGCCUCCCUAGGAUGAUAGGUGCUCUCUCAUCAUUUCCGGUCUCUACCACUACGAAGUGUGCUAGAGCAUAUAAGGUACCAACUCGGACACAAAGGUUCUUCACUAUUCCUUUUGGAAAUGUUAUCGUCUGAUCUGCAAACUGCAAACACAUGGUUGUUUCUAGUAAAGGAUAUGUAAAGAAUUUCUCAUAGAGUACCCUGGGUAUAAUGUUGACACUAGAGCCAAAGUCGCAGAGUGCUUCUGGGACGUCCACGAUGCCGAUCGAGAUCGGGAUGACGGGGCGUCCUGGAUCGCCUCUCUUGACCGACAGAAGGUCAGUAGAGAAUUCAUUGACGGGGUUACUCCAAUUACCUGCAUCAAAUAUGUCUACAAGAUUUGCAGAUUCUAAUCCUUCCAGUUGUGAUGGUAUACCGGGGUUAGUAGUAGGAACAGCAGCAGCUAUUUGAUUUAACUGAGAUUCAAUCAUUUUAUUAAAGCUAAUUUGAUUCUUGAUGGCAGUAGAGAAAUUAUCCAUUCUAUUGUUUAUAUUUUCUAGCAUUUUAUCAUUAGAUGCCAAUUUCUUAGAUAGGUUGUCCAUUAGCUUCCCUUGAUUAGACACUAACUCCCUCAAAGGUGGAAAAUUACUAUUGUUGUUGUUGUAAGAAUUGUUACCUUGAUAAUUACCUGAGUAGUUAGGCCUCUAUUGAUUCCAACCUUGAUUUUGUUGAGGACGGUUAUAGUAGUUAUUGUUGUUGUUGUUGAUGUAGUUCACAUCCUCAAGUAUAUCGGGGCAGUGGUUGCCUGAGUGUCCAGUGUCUCCACACUCCUCACAAGUCAUGUGAGAGUCGUAGAUGUGCAUAACUUCUUUCCUGUCUCCAGCUCUAUCGUCGAGCUUCUUCAUGAGCAGGUCUAGCUUUGCAGACAGCAUGUCUACCUCCUUCAGCUGAUGCAUACCUCUACCUCUCUUGCGUGUCUGGGUCCUCUAUUCAUUCUAGCCUUGAUUGGACACCAUCUUCUCCACAAGAGUUGUGGCUUGUGGUAUAGUAAGUGAUAAGAAUGCUCCUCCAGCUGCAGCAUCCAUGGUCUCUCGGGCACUGUUGCCGAGCCCGUGAUAAAAUGUCUGCAUCAAUAGCCAACUCUCCAUUCCAUGAUGGGGACAUUCUAAGAUGUAGUCUUGAAAGCGCUCCCAUGCUUCUAGAACAGAUUCAUCAUUUUGUUGCUGAAAACUUGUAAUCUUCCCACGGAGAGCAUUGGUCUUGCCCAUGGGAAAGAACUUUGCUAGGAAGUUUGUUGAGCAGAGUGCCCAUGUAGUAUUCUUCUCCUUUGUAGCGUAGAACCACUGCUUCGCUGUUCCUAACAGUGAGAAUGGGAAGAGGCGAAGUAGUAUAGCGUCUUUGGAAACUCCUGCUAUGGUGAAUGUGUUGCAAAUCUCCAGGAAGUGUUGUAAAUGAGCACUAGCAUCUUCGUGUGCCUUCCCACAGAACUGGUUGGAUUGCACCAUGUUGAUAAGUCCAGGCUUGAGCUCAAAGUUGCCAUCGAUCUCUGCAGCAGGUCCAGUGCGGAUGUUGUCCGUAGUGGGAGCUGAGAACUCGCGGAUUGAUUUGUUCGCCAUGGCUUCGAACUCUGAAGACAAGUUCCGGUGAUCUUCUUGAUUGGAUGAAGCUUCUUGCUGAAGUGUUGAUGAUUUCUUCUUGGCUCUCGUCUUCUUGAAUAAUGCUUCGGGAUUGUCAAUAAAAUUUCCUGGAAGAUGUCUUCUAUUCAUACAUUCCCCUGCAUAAGAUAAAAUAGAAAAAUAUCGGGGUAAAACUGUAUGAGAGAAUAGAUAAGCUCAAUCAUAUUAGUGAUGCGAAUGAUAACUCAAAAUCUUUUAUUCCAUUCCUGAUUGGUAAUCAACCUUCCCCGACAACGGCGCCAAAAAUGCUUGUUGGAUAUUCUUAACAUCAUUACCAGAAGUAGACUAAGUUCUCUAAAUCUAGUAACGGUGCCAAAAAUGCCAAACCUAUCCCUCACACCACUUAAGCCAAGUUGUCAUCCCCACCAUGAUAUGAGAGACGCGGUAUUGAAAUAUGCAAAUGCUCUUCUAAAUAAAUAAUGAAUGGGAUCUGCAAGCGCACAGAUUAAUACCGAUGCAGCAUUUUAACCGGGAAGUAUUCCAGGUAUCGUUAUUUAUAUUUUUACCACUGGGAAGGGAUUAGAAAUCAUCACUAUUGAUUACAGAAUAGAAUAUGAGAUUGAGCAUCUAUCAUUGCAUGUAUAAUUGAGAACAUUAUAUCUAACUCUUCAUACAGAGAUAAGUGUCACAUAAAAGAUAUAUGAAAUAAUAAUAGUGACAAGGAUAACUAAUCUGAUCUAGCCACAUAAUAAAUAUGAUAAGCACCUCAAUUAGAUACUCUAGAAAGUCAUUAGCAUGGUAUGAGAACGAACUACAAGAAUAUUCCCUAAAUUAUUCUUAACUAUAUAGCCUAGCAUUAUCAUAGUUAGUGCAAGCAUACUUAGCAAUCAUUGUGAGACAAGACUACGCCCAUGCAUAGUGAUAUUAGCAAGGAAUAUGAGAAACAUAGCAAUCACUCCCCUGUAAUAAUGUUGCUCUGCCAGCCCAAUACACGAGAGGGGGACUAUAUAAGAAUCAAUGAAGCUGUCACUAUCACGAACCACCCCACGAUCUGGCAUAUUGGGUACAAUCGCAGAUAAAUACGGUAUAAGCACCACGCCUACACAAUAUCUAUCAUUUACCCAUGGAUCCGAUGGACAAACGCUAUACGAUCCUAAGCAUGUAUAUAGUUCCAAUUUAGCUAUGCCAAGUACAUAACUAUGAUAAACUAAGAACAAUAUAAUCUUCAAUAUAAGCAAGUAGAGCAAAGUCAUAAGCAAUAUAUUGAAGUAGAACAAAGUCAUAUUCAUAAUAUUGAAGAACAAAGAUAAUUAGAAAGUAAUUAGAAGCACAAUUAGAGAAUUACUGUAACAGAACCGACCAAAUUAUAAGAGAUUAAGCCUAAUAGUGACCAUUUGCAUAGUCGAACCAUCACGCUUAAGCCCAUAUAAUCCCGGUAGUCCGUGAAAUCUCGAAGGAUUUCAAACCACACAUCGCAUACAGCCAAGAUCGUAAUAAGUUUAGCGGUCGCCAUCCACAAGUACAUCCAAAUUACAACAUUCAUGAAACACAUCGGAGUGCUUAUAGUUAUUACAAACCAAGUUCUUCAAGUAGCGGAAGCUUCAUAUUUCGAAAAUACAACACACACGAUAAGUCUGAUACAGUGCCAUAGUUCGGUCAUUCCCACAAAAGCAAAAGAAGAGACAGAGUGACCAUCGCCCUUGGUCUAGUCAUCACCCAUAGCUGGGUACAGACAGAGGAUGCAAUAACCGUAGUACAUUUGACCAUCUGCAAAACAACAUGGGAAUAGAACCCUGAGUACGAGAAGGUGCUCAGCUAGACUUACCCGUCAUAACUUAAAAUAAAGACUCAUCAAGGAUCAUGAAGGCUAUUUAGUGGGGUAGCUGACAACCAUUUUGCAAAAACCGCAAGGUUUUAUUACCUGAACCUACAAUAAUCUUUUCUGCUUUUAAUCUGCUCAAGUUGAAAGUAUCAUUACCUAUUCUCUAGGUUUGCUCCUGUGCUAUUACAAGCAAGUAUGAGACUAUGAUAGUACCUCAUCACAGCAAUCCUAAACCUGUUUCCUUAUACCCCAAGUGUUCCAUAGUCCUUACUACGAGGACGAAGCUCAUGUCAAGUGCUCACUAUCCAGGAGCGAUGGCGAUUCGAAUCGAUUUCUAACCAGCUGGCGAGGUAUUCCCCACACAAACCACACUCACUGAUCAAGUGAGCUACAGAUCACCGUAUUACACUAUCCAGGACCAAUUCGCGGGUUCGGCAGGCACCGCCAGUACCCGAGGACCGUUCCGGCGACCGAGGUAUCCAAGGUAUACCAGGGUUGCGCGCCGCGCCCUCGUCGUUCUCCUCAACCACCACCAAUACAGCGCGUGGCGGCUCGAUUCCCGGCCCGGAUAGUGUUCAGGCUUCGCGGUCGGAACGACUUAUCCUUCCAGCUAAGUGUGGGGCAUGCGUUCAACAUGACAAGAGGGCCGUCAACGAUCGGUCCUUAAUCGACACAGGCAGGGGCACUAUGGGCAACCCACCAUAAGACCCUGCCCGGUCUCCAAUUACUUUCCACACUUGGUUAUUUCUUUCCCCAGCAACCAAUGCUUAAACAAGUCGGUAUCCACCUAUAUCUCGCAGGUGACAGGACAUCACCCGACUUUUACCGGACUAAGCAAGCUAAGCAUAGACUCCGCGCCCAUCUACAUAGGACAAGGUAGAUAACGAGUAGGGAUAACAAGGAGUACAUAUGCAGCAACGGUAUCAGACAACUCCUAUUACUUAUAUGCAAUAUAGUAGAACCAGUGUAAUAUAUAUAUAGUAAGUUAGCGAGAAUAGGGAGACUUAGAAUGCUCCGGGGCUUGCCUUUCUCAAACGUGCUGGGUCGGUGAUCCGGGCACUCUUGCAGUUCCUCUCCGGGCUCUUGUGCUUCCGGAGGUUCCUGCUCCUGAAGCUCCUCGGGUUCCCCGGGUCCCACUUCGUUCUCCUGCGAGCCUGUAUGAUGCAUAUAUGCUCAUGAGUGGAGUGCGAGAUGCCCGAGUGGAUGCUUAUAUGAGAGAGUACCAGAAGAGUCAUGUUUGUGAUGCAUAGGUAAUGCACUUGGUCAUGCUUAUUACAAGGUAGUUAACAUCACCCAAGAAUAAACAAUUGAACCAAACACCUAUUACAUUCUCUUCGAUCAUUAUUUUUCAAAUGCAAACAGCAACCUCUAUGAUGCUUCAAAGAUACACCAAACUCAAUUCAUUCCAUGCCACCUAUAUAUAUACAACCAUUUAUAGUUUUCUUUAUUCAUUUCUAAGCCCAUUAAAAUGACAUGCAAUUCUGUUCAUCAAUAAAUUCCACAAAAAUUACAGGAGACUCCCAGCUAAGCAUAAAGUUUACUGAAAAUUUUUCAUAAUUUUUGGUUACUUAUUUUGAGCCACAAAAAUCACAAGAUUAAUUAAUAAGGUAAGUAAAAUCACCCUACUGUGAUAUAAGUGUCAAACAACAGAUUUCAUAUUUUUACAAUUUGUCUAAUAUCAUAAGAAACAUCCACAAAAUUUUCCAGAUUUAUUGCACGACUCAAUUAAUUAUUAAAAAUCAUAAAGUACUGCCAUGCAAGCAUUUAAAUUACCAUAAAUUCAUUUAUACACCCAAUAAUAGGUAACAAUAUUUUCUCAGUGAGUAAACACACAUGCAGAGCCAGCAAAAUAAGUUUCACAUUUUUCUGAGCCAUAUUUUAUUUACUAUGCAUUUUCCAAGUUUAACAAAAACAUGGAUUAAUUAUACUUACACAGAAAAGUUACUCAAACAUGACAUGCAAUUAUACUAGGAUAUAGAUCUGGAAAUAAGGAACACACCAAAAUUUAUUUCACCAUUUUUGGAGCUAUAUUCAUCAAGAUAUAGAUUUUUGAACAUUUAAAUCAUUUCCUGGGAAUUAUUUUUCUGAAAACAAAACAAUUCCACCCCGCGACCCGCUAGGUGCACCCGGUGCAGUGCACCCGCGGCCGCUGACGAGCGGACCCGCCUGCCAGCAGGGCCCGCUGGUCAGAGCGCAGAGGGGGAAGGAGCUCCGGCGAGCCGGAGCUCACCGUCGGCGACCCCCUUUCGGCGAAUCAAGUGGCUCUACACGUUCUACGGAUCACGGCGGACCUAGGGCACUCAUUUGCGCGGCCUAAAACGGACCGGAGCAGGCUCGCCACCGGCCAUGGCGGAGCGGCGGCGCUGCUCGUCGUCGGUACGGGACUCCGGCUCGGUAGAGCGUGGCUGGAGGGGCUUGCGAGCAUCGCGGUGCCAAGGCGAACACGAUGCGCCAACUACGCAGCACCGGAAGGCAUGGAGGCGCGCGGAUCACGCGUGCGGCGGCGGAGCUCUCGCCGGAGAAGAAAGCGGGGGCGAGCGGGGCUCACCGUGCCUUACCGAGCGCUCCGAUGAGCGUUUCGCAACGGCGGAACGAAAGCGAAGCUCGGGGAAGAACUAAUUGCAGAGUGGCGCACGUACGGGGGAGGAACAGCCGAGGCGGAGCUCGGGCUCCAAUGGCGACGGCGGCGCUCUGCGCGUGCGGGGCGAGGGCGAGAAAGCGAGAGAGAGAGAGCUGAGGGGCGCGAAUGGGAGCGGGGGCGGAGGCGAGCGCGACCGGGGCGCUUUGGUGGCCGACCGGGGCGCGUCCUCGCUGCCGCAUGCCCGCCACGCGGCGGCCGAGCCCUGCCGGCGCGCCACGGCGUCGCGGCGAGGCCGUCCGCGCGCGGACGUGGGCGCGAGCGCGGAGGAAGGGAGGAGGGGAGAGCGCGGGCGGGCCGAGCCGGCUUCGGCCAGUGGGCCAGAAGCGAGGCCGCGGCCUGCUAGCGCCCCCUUUUCCCUUUUUCCCUUUUUUUUUUAAAUUCUUUUCUCAAAUCCUCUUCCAAAGGCCUUUUGACUAUUUUCAAAUCAUUUUCACCAUUUUCACCCAAAAGCAAAGUUGUUCCAAAACAAAAACUCUACCACUUUGUUUUAACAAGCAAAACCAAAUUCCAAACAGAAUUUGAAUUACAAGUUAAAACUCAGUUCUAGGUUUUAAUUAAAUUCUUUUUGGAUAUUUUUGUAUAAAUUCCAUUUCUCAAAUUCCAUAGCUCCAAAAAUUGCACAAAAAUAUUCUAAAUGCUGCUCACACAUAAAUCAACCUAAUUUGAAUUUUUCACAAUUUUAGGAGCAAGUAUCAUAUUUUUAACAUAUUUAAAACACAUGAAAUAAAGCACAUAAAAUCAUAAUUUGCUCAAGAGUGUCAUGCUCAUGAUGCUUAUGUUUGAUGGAAUGCUUAUGCAUGACUUUGGUGAGACUAAGUGCAUGCUUAACACCUAGGGUGUUACAAUUACCAAGAAUCCUCCUGACAGAUCCGGAAACCAAUCAAAGAUUGACUCCUUCUAGUUCUAAUCCUAUGUAGCUAUGCUAAUCUAGAUGUCUAAUUGAUGUGGUGGCUCUAAUCUUGAUCAGAGGCUUCUUCUCCCUUGAUGGAACAAUGAAUUAGGGUUGAGAGGCUCCCUCCUCCAGGGGCCAGGGGGUCUGGUUUUAUAGUCCCUCCAAGUGAAUAUGGGCCCUUGGAUCAAACCGACAUAGAUUGCAUGGUUUAGAUUCAUCCUUUGGGUCGGUGGAGAUCUCCCGCAAAGCAGAGUCCUGAUUGGACUCAGGGGCAGGGUGGGCGCCCUGACCAACUGGGCGGCCGCCCAGGGUCAGGCUCCGUUUCGCCUCCGCUUCGGUCUCGUGGCUUCUGGAGUCUUCUAGAUGUAAGAUAAUUGCGCAGCACGUUAAUAUCUUUACGUAAUCCCGACAUGUGGGCCUUUCUUCCAUAUUUCCUGAUAACCCCCUGCAGAAAUAGACAAACACCAAAACUCAUGGAAUUCUGUCAAAUACAACCCUAAGUCUGGAUCUUGGUUUCAUUUGGAUCCUUUUCUUUAUUUAUUUGAUAAUUAAAUUUGAUACUUAAGGAUCGUCAACACUCAUCAUAGCAUUCAUGCAAUUAUUUAUCAUAUAACCCAAGUGUUCCAUAGUCCUUACUACGAGGACGAAGCUCAUGUCAAGUGCUCACUGUCCAGGAGCGAUGGCGACUCGAAUCAAUUUCUAACCAGCUGGCGAGGUAUUCCCCACACAAACCACACUCACUGAUCAGGUGAGCUACAGAUCACCGUGUUACACUAUCCAGAACCAAUUCGCGAGUUCGGCAGGCACCGCCAAUACCCGAGGACCGUUCCGGCGACCGAGGUAUCCAAGGUAUACCAAGGUUGCGAGCCGCGCCCUUGUCGUUCUCCUUAACCAUCACCAAUACAGCGCAUGGUGGCUCGACUCCCGGUCCGGUUAGUGUUCAGGCUUCGCGGUCGGAACGACUUAUCCUUCUAGCUAAGUGUGGGGCAUGCGUUCAACAUGACAAGAGGGCUAUCAACGAUCGGUCCUUAAUCGACACAGGCAGGGGCACUACAGUCAACCCACCAUAAGACCCUUCCUGGUCUCAAAUUCCAUUCCACACUUGGUUAUUCUCUACCAAAGCAAUCACCGCUUAAUCAAGCAGGUAUCCACCUAUAUCUCGCAGGUGACAGGAAAUCACCCGACUUCUACCAGACUAAGCAAGCUAAGCAUAGACUCCGUGCCUAUCUACAUAGGACAAGGUAGAUAAACGAGUGGUGACAUCAAGGAGUACAUAUGCAUCAAUGGUAUCAAGCAAUUCCUAAUCACUUAAAUGCAACAUAGUAGAACAAGCAUAAUAUGUUAUUUAAGUUAGCGAGAGUAGGGAGACUUAGAAUGCUCCUGGGCUUGCCUUUCUCAAACGUGCUUGGUCUGUGAUCCGGGCACUCGUGCAGUUCUUCUCCGAGCUCCGCUCCUCCUAGAGGUUCCUGCUCCUGGGUCUCCUCCUGCUCCUCGGGUCCCACCUCGUUCUCCUACAAGCCUUUAUGGUGCAUGUAUGCUCAUGAGUGGUGUGCGAGAUGCCCGGGGUGCAAUGCUUUAUGCGAGAGAAUACCCAUGACCAUGACAUGAUGCAUAGAUGAUUAAUGUAGCCAUUUUUACAAGGUAGUCAACGUCAUCCGAGAACAUGCAAUCACACUAAACAUCUAUUACAUUCUCUUCUACAAAUUGUCCUCAAGUGUAACCAGCAAACUCACAAGAUGCUUCAAAGAUACACCAAACCCCUUUUAUUCUACUUAAUCUAUAUAUAACAAUUCAUAAUUUCUUUAUCCAUUUUUAGGCCUACCAAAAUAGCAUACAUUUCUGUUUAUCGAUAAAUUCCACAAAAAUUAGAGUAGACUACCAGUCAAACCUAAAGUCUACGAUAAAUUUUUCAUAAUAUUUGGACACUUAUUUUGAGCUACAAAAAUCACAAGAUUAAUUCAUAAAAGAAAGUAUAAAUACUCUACUGUGGUAUAAGUGUCAAACAGCAGAUUUCAUAUUUUUAUAAGUUACUUAUUAUCAUAAGAAACACUCACAAAAAUUUCCAGAUUAAUUGCAUGAUCCAAUUAUUUAUUAAAAAUCAUAAACCACUACCAUGCAAGCAUUUAAAUCACCAUAAAUUCAUAGAUACAGUAAUUAAUGUGUAACAUAUUUUUCCUAGAGCCUAAUCAUCCAUGCAAAGCCAAUAAAAUAAGUUUCAUAUUUUUCUGAGCUAUAUUUUAAUUACUAUGCAUUUUACAAUUUCUAGCAAAAACAUGGAUUAAAUAUAAUUGCACAGAAAAGUUGCUCAAACAUGACAUGCAAUCCAACUAAACUGUAGACCUGAGAUUCUAGAACACAUCAAAGUUUAUUUCAUUAAUUUUGGAGCUAUAAUUCUCAAAAUAUGGAUUUUAGAACAUUUAAACCAUUUUCUGGAAAUCAUUUUUCUGAAAAAACAAUUCAAAUCCACCCCGGGACCAGCCAGGUGUACCCGGUGCAGUGCACCCGUGGUCGCUGACGAGCGGACCCGCCUGCCAGCCGAGCCCGCUUGCCAGAGCGCAGAGAGGGGAGAACUCCGGCGAGCCGGAGCUCACCGUCGGCGACCUCUUUCGGCGAAUCAAACUGCUCUACGCGUUCUACGGCUCAAGGCGAACUCAGCGCACCCAUUUGCGUGGCCUGAAAUGGACCGAAGCAAGCUCGCCACCGGCCAUGGCGGAACGGCGGCACGGCUCGCCGCGGUCCGGCCACCACACGGCGGUAGAGCGCGCGCUUAUGGCUGGAAUAGGUGCGCGAGGCCAAGGCGAAGCUAACGCAUCAAAAAGCGCGAGAAAUGGCGGGGUAGAGGGGGAGAACCGCGGAGACCGUGAGGUCGCCGGAGUUCCGACUCACUCCGGUGAGCUCUCCCGGGCACGCGGGACUCACCGAGCGCGGUAGAACGCGAGCACGCGAUGCGGAAGGACGAGGCAGAGCUGGUGGUGGUCGCGGAGAGGAAGAAGAAGGCCGGAGCUAGCCGAGAGAGGAGCUCCACGUCGUCGGCGACGAUGGCGUGCGGCGGAGCGGCGGCUGCUGCGCGCAAGCGAGCGGAGGGCGAGAGCGCGAGUGGAGGAGUGCAAAUGGCAGCGGGGGCAGUGGCGGACGCGGCCGGGCGCUCCUGGUGGCCGACCAGGGCGCGUCCAGGCUGCCGCAUGCUCGCCACGCGGCGGCCAGGCUCUGCCGGCGCGCCACGGUGGCAUGGCGCGGCCGUCCGCACGCGCGGGCACGGCGCGGGCGCUGGCGCGGGAAAGGGGAUGAGCGCGGGCGGGCUAGGCCGGCUUCGGCCAGUGGGCCAGAAGUGAGGCUGCGGCCUGGUAGCAACCCCUUUUCCCUUUUCUAUAUUUUUAUUAAAUUUCUUUUCUCAAACUCUUUCUAAUUUCAUUUGGACCAUUUUAAAUUCAUUUUCACGUUUUUCUCCCAGAAUGAAAGUUGUUCCAAAACAAAAACCCUACAACUUUGCUUUAAGUCGAAUUCACAAAUUCCAAUUAGAUUUUGAAAUACAACUCAAAACUAGUUAUAGGUUUUUAAAUAAAUCUAUUUUCGGAAAUUUAGUAUAAAAUCAAUUUCUCAAUUUCUAUAGCUCCAAAAAUAUCACAAAAUUACUCUUAAAUAUUCUAACACUCAUUUCAACCUAAUUUUAAUAUUUCACAAUUUUAGAAACAAGCAUGAUAUUUUUAACAUUUUUAAUUCACAUGAAAUAAAGCACACAUAAAAUCAUACUUGAGUUAUUAUUGUGCUCAUGGGAUGUGAUGCUUAUGCCUUGCUUGAUGAGAAUGCUUAUGAAUAUUUUAUGAGACUAAGUGCAUGCUUAACACCUAGGGUGUUACAACUUUGAUGGCACCAAUUAUGCUUAUUGGAAGGUCAAGAUGACCGCCCAUCUCAAGUCAAUCAAUAGAGAAGUUUGGAAGAUAACCAAAACAAAGUUUAAGGUUGCAAAUGAGAAUGCACCUACACUGGUUGAAGAAAAGAAGCUUCAAUGCAAUGACAUUGCAAUAAGUGCUCUUCAUCAAGCUCUUGAUGACAAGACCUUUGAGCAAAUCAAGAACAUUGAGAUUGCUCAUGAUGCAUGGGCAAAACUAGAAGAAACAUUUGAGGGCACCAAGGGAACCAAGACCGCCAAGGCAUACAUACUCCAAGAAAAGUUCUCAAGCUUCAAGAUGCAAGAAGAUGAAAGUGUGCCGGAGAUGUUUCACCGGUUGCAAGUUAUUGUGAAUGAGCUCAAGGCACUUGGGGAAGAAGUGAGGGAUAGUCAAUUCUCUUUAAAGUUCUUGAGAAGCUUGCCCAAGAGAUUUGACACAUUGAUCACCGUGCUAGUCAAGACCACACUUAGUGAGUCAACUCCUCAACAAGUGUUCCAAGAAGUGAUGACCGAUGAUGCUUAUAGAGAAGAUGAUGAGAAUGAUUAGUUGAUCAAGAAGAAGAAGAAGAAGAUGGAUGAGAAGAAGAAAAGUGUGGCAUUCAAAGCCUCCUCAUCCAAGGGCAAAGCCAAGAUAGAAUCAUCAAGUGAAGAAGAAGCAAGCUCUUGUGAUAGUGAUGAACAUGAGGAGAUGGCUCUUCUUGUCAAAAGAUUUGGCAAGUUUAUGAAGAAGAAGAGCUAUCGGGCAAGAAGGAAGAAUAGCUCCUCCAAGAAGAAUGACCAUUCCAUGAGGUGCUUUAGAUGCCAUAGCAAGGAUCAUCUCAUCGCCAAGUGUCAUUAUGAUAGUGAUGAUGAAGAUGCUAUCAAGAAGGAAAGAAAUAAGCAAAAGAAGAAGCGAGAAAAGAAGGAAGGCUCAAACAAUAAGAAGGGUGAUGCCCAUGUUGCAAUUUGGGAUAGUGAUGAAUCCUCAAGUGAUGAUGAGAGCACCAAGAAGUUCUAGGCACAUGCUAACAUUACAAUUCAAGGAAAAAGCUCCAUCUUCGACACUCCAUCAUGCUUCAUGGCUAAGGCCACUAAGGUAUCAUCCGAUGAUGAGAGUGACCAUGCUAGUGAUAAUGAUAGUGAUGAUGAUGAACCAACUAAAUAUGAACUAAUCACGAUGCUAGAAGAUUGCACUCAUCACUAUAAAGAAACUAGAAAGGAGUGGAAGGCCUUGCUAAAGGAUAAGAAAACCCUUGAGCAAGAACUUGAUGAGCUUAGAGCAUCUUAUGAGAGUCUAAAGGAAGACCAUAAGAAGCUUCAAAUGGCUCACAAUAAGCUUGAAGAAGCUCAUUCCUCUCUAGUUAACAAGUGUAAAAAUGAGCCAACUAAAAUUGAAAAGCUCAAACUUGCAACAUAGGCAUAACAUGUGAUAUCUUGAGUAAGCAUAUUGUUAUUGCUUCUACUAACCCUUCAUGUAGCUCAUCUACAUCAUCCUAAUCUAGUGGUGAUUGUUUCACUUGUGACACCACACUAAAAGUUGAAAAUGAAAUUCUCAAGAAGGAGGUGAAAGAGCUCAAUCACACCUUAGCCAAGGCUUAUGGUGAUAAGGACCGCUUGCUUAUGUCCUUGGGUAGCCAAAGAACUUCUCUCUACAAAGAGGGAUUGGGCUAUAAACCCAAGAAAGGCAAAGCCGCCUUUGCUCCUCACAAGACUAGUUUUGUGAAGAACAAUGGCCGGUAUUGCAAAGCUUGCAAGCAACAAGAAACCCAAAGCUAAUGUAUGAACAAGAAACCCAAAGCUAAUGUAUCCUCAAUUAAGCUUAAUUCUUUCUAUGUGCUUACCAAGGAUACAAAAGGUGUUCAUGCUAAGUUCAUUGGUGCACCAUGGAUGGGCUCAAAGAAGAAAGUCAUAUGGGUACCAAAGAGCUUAGUUGCUAACCUUGGAGGACCCAAUCAAGUUUCGGUACCUAAAAGAAUUGAUCUUUUCUUGUAGGUCAAUUACAAAGCUGGAGGAAGGCAUUGGGUGCUUGAUAGUGGAUGCACUCAACAUAUGACUGGAGAGUCUUGUAUGUUCAAAUCAAUUGAUACAAAUCAAAAUGGUGGCUUUGAUUCUAUCACUUUCGGCAACAACAAGAAUGGCAAGGUCAAAGGGCUUGGUAAAUUUGCUAUCUCAAAUGACAUGAGCAUAUCAAAUGUGUUACUAGUUGAGAGCCUUGAUUUCAAUCUCUUGUCAAUUGCACAAUGUUGACGGUCCUUAAGUACCAAAUAUAAUCGUCAAAGAAAUAAAUAAAAGGAUCCAAAUGCAACCAACACCCAGACUUAGGGUUUUAUCUGACAGAAUUCCACAAGUUUUGGUGUUUGUCUAUUUCUGCAGGGGGUUAUCAGGAAAUAAGGAAGAAAGGCCCACAUGUCGGGAUUACAUAGAGAUAUCAACGCACCGCGCAAUUUUCUACCAUCUACAAGACUCCAGAAGCCACGGGAAGAAAGCAGAGGCCGAAAGGGGCCAGGCCUAGGGCGCCCGCCCUGAGGACCUGGGCGCCCGCCCACCUCUAGACUCCGUUCGGGACUCUCUUCGCAGACGAAGUUCCACCGACCUAAAGGAUCAAGGAUAACGUAGUACCACAUCGCCUACCGACCCAAAAACGCAUAGAGGAGGACUAUAUAAGGAGACCCCCCUGGCCCUCGGAGGAAAACCUCUUCUCUAAAUAAAAUUUCAUUUUAGGCUUAGCAACCAAUGUAAGUAGAAAUAGAUCUUCUAGUUUCUACUAGAUUGAGAGAGAUAGAGUGGAGGUGUAGAUCGGAGGAAGGCCGGCCUGUCGGUGUCUACUCCGAGUUGUACCUGCGGGAUCAAGUCUUCUAACCCAAGGCUUGCUUCUAAGAUUCUUCAGUAAUUCGACUUCUAAUUCUAGUAAGUUCUUGUUUUAUUGUUCUUUGGUUUAUGAGUUUACUUUAAUCCUCUUCCGGUUGAGUAUUAGAGUAAUCAUUGCUAGCGUAAACGUGGUGUUUAGGCUAGGGUACUCAUAGAUAUCCCCUGACUAGCUGGACCGUGGUAGUAUAGAGGAACGUGACAUUUCCGAGUUACCUUUGUAUCCCAUAUCUUGUUAGCAGGACGGGUAGGUUUAUAGGUGCAGGUCGAACAUCCUUUGUGGUGUCUAGAUUCUGUGAGCUUCCCCAAUAGAACAAUAGAUCAUCCUUACCAAGGUUAGUACGAGACUACGAUUGCAGUCUUCUCUAUACAUCACUCACAUCGAGAAACAUUCUUUGUAGCCUAAAGGGAUAGUAGCAAUAGAUUUGGUUAGUCAGAUGCACCCUUUCUCCCACUGGUGAAAAUAUAAAUACGAUACUCUGGAAAACCUCCCGGGUGAAAUGCUCACCGAUAUCUGUGCGCUUGCGGAUCAUUUCCUUAUUGCGUUACCAAAUAUCAACAAGCAUUUCUGGCGCCGUUGCCGGAGAGAAAGACGGUUUGCUGAGAUAACUUUGAGUCUUGCUAUUAUCUUGUAAUAUAAUUUUAUACUUUUAUUCUUUUAUCUUUUUAUCUUUAUGGAUAACUUAAAUUCCAUACCUAUUAUUGACCAGCCAUAAACCAUGGGAGUCAACAAGUCCUGCCCCUAAUUAUGAUCUGAGUCCGGAGUUGAUUGCAAUAGGUCAAAACCAACCCUUUUCUAUAGCCGAGGUCCUAUCUUUUAAUCAAGAAGAUAAUGCACUUUUAACUACACCUAGGGAAUCUUUUAAUCUUUCUAUAAAUUCUAGUUUAGACCUAGCCCUACAAGACCAUGUUUUCCCUGGAUAUUUUCACAUUGGUCUUAAUCAUAUAACAUUUGGUAGAGUUUUUCUUUCUUUAUCUCUUAGUAAAGCAAGGUAUGUCUUCAUUCGUGGACAUCCUUCUUGUACUAGUCUUCAUAAAAAAAUCUAAGAGAUAGAGAAGGAAUCAUCUCCUAGACGAGGAAAGGAAGUUUCAAUAGCCAAUUUCCAACAUUUCAAUCCCAUGAUUCGGCUAUCCAUCCCAUCCUUGAGCUUAAUAGUUUCUACUAUGCUCUUUCUCUUGAACCUCCCGAUAAUCCUAUGAAUCUCUCUAGACAUCCCAUGCAUAAGAAGGAGGAUCGAGAAGAGCAACAUCAAUGGCUAGAGGGCAUUAAAAAUCCAUGUGCUAUCACCAUUGAAUGGAUAGAUAAAACAAACUUGAGAGACAAUCCUAGAGGAAUUUUAAGCAUUUGUGAAGAAUCAUCCUUGGAGUUUGAGAAUGAGAGAAACAACAGUGAGCAUUGUAGGGUAUUUUAAACGCAAACAAAAAAAUCCGCAAGCGCACGAAUACCGAUGUAGCUUUCACCCGGGAGUAUUCCAGAGUAUCGAUUUUUCACAGAGAACGUGAGUGUACUAAUUAAGAUCCAAGAACGCCCAAGGAUAACUAUAUAAUUAUUAUUGGUGGGAAGAAAGGAAGUUUCCUGAGAGUUCUCUAGUUGAUCUCAGAAUCAAGAAUUACUUCAAGAUUAUCUAUAUCGGGACAUCAGAGCACUAACCACAGAAAGAGAUGAGAAGGGGGCUAGGAAGGUCUGACUACGGUCCUACAAACACCGAUCCGAACGUGGUGUAAUACGUCGACCGUUAGGGCUGUCACUACCCUAAGGCUACCACAACAAUCCGCAGGAUUGGGUGCAAUUCUAGGUAAUUGCAAGGCAAAAGACCACGUCUAAUCUAUUAAUUACUACACUAGCGUUAUAAAGACUAGAGCACUUGAUGCAAGCCGGAAUCCAAUAAAUAACUCGAAUGUAAAUAAAAGUAAUUAAAGAACUCAGGAAUUAUGAAUUGAAGAACUUGAAGAAAGAUGAAGAACGAACCAGUUGCUGCAAAAGUAUAAUGUUGAGGAAGAUCCGACAGAUCCGGCUCCUCCUCCGCUCUCCUCUUCUCUCUCCCUAUUUUCUAGAUUACAACUAGAACUAACUAGAACUAGAACUAGAGGAACUAUAACUAGAUGAACUAGAACUAGAUCUAGAUGAACUAGAGGUAGAACUAGAAGAACUAGAGGGAUCCUCUCUACUUGGAUGAAGAAUUGAAACUCUAGCUUUGAUUAUGUAGAAGAGGUAUGAUCUCCAGGGGCCAGGGGGUCUGGUUUUAUAGUCCCUUCAAGUGAAUAUGGGCCGUUGGAUCAAACCGACAUUGAUUGAACAGUUAUGCUUGAUCCUUUUGGUCGGUGGAGCACGAUCCGCAAGUUUGGACGUGAUUGGGCAGAACUCCAGGGCAGGCGCCCUCAGGACUUGGGCGGGCGCCCUGUCCCUGAGCCCUCUCAGCCUCCGCUUCCUUCCCGUGGCUUCUGGAGUCUUCUAGAUGAUAGAAAAUUGUGCGGCACGUUAAUAUCUCUAUGUAAACCCGACGUGUGGGCCUUUCUUCCAUAUUUCUUGAUAACCCCCUAUAGAAAUAGACAAACACCAAAACUCAUGGAAUUCUGUCAGAUAAAACCCUAAGUCUAGGUGUUGGUUGCAUUUGGAUUUUUUUCUAUGAUUAGUUGACGGUUAAAUAUGAGCAUUAAGGACCGUCAACAAGCUCCCCCAAGCUUAAACUUUGCUCAUCCCUGAGCAAAGAUGGACUCAAGAGUUUCUGCAGUGGUUUCAUGCCUUAAAGAUACACAUGCGUUCAAACUAGAUCUCAUCUCUAGGUUAGGGUAAACUGUUAAGGCUUAAACUUACUCAUUUUACCUUUCACCAUGGGACUUGUAACCGUCAUUUCUGUCUUGAGUAGUUAAAAGAUAGAACGGUCUAGUCAAGAACCAUGUCUCUUGUUCUUCGAUUAACUAUAACUCUGGAGUUUUUGCAGAUUUUCAAAUAAAAUUCAGAGAUUCCUUGUAUGACUCUCUCUAGUCUCUCUUUUGUGGUAUUUCUGGAUCCUUACCAAGGCAGUAAUGGUAUAUGCCUUCUCUCAAAGUAUGUAGUAUUUUUGGUAUGAGGUAUACUGACAUUGCCUUCUCUCUCACCCUACUCUAAUAAGGUUUUGAUAUCUGGAGCUCAUAGGUGGGAGACAGCUAAUACAUACUUACAUGACAUUUAUUGCAUAGUCAAACUAUGGAUCUAGAAGAAACAAGUCAAUAAGUCAAAUCAAGAUGUUUAUGUGUUGCGAAUGAAUGGUGUAUGGUGAUGAUGGUGAUAACAAUGGUGAAAGUCUAAUUCUACUUGUGCUCUUUUCAGGGGAUACAUACCUCUCUUGCUCUUUAGAAACUUUUGAGGAGAAUGAGAUGCUCUAUAUUUUCUUUUUCUUUUCUCUCAGGUGGGUAUCUUGUACCCCUAAUUCUACUGUCGGACACUUGUCCAUUUUUACCUCUCGUCUCACUUUUUCUUUCUUUUGAGGUUCCGGGCACUUGCCCCUUUUUAUUUCGUCGUAUACUUUUUUUUCUCUCUCUUUUUUUUAGAGCACUCAUCUCAUGAGAUAAUAUAGCAAGUGGUAGUAACAAAUUAACUUGAGCAUUUAUUUCACAGGGGAAAAACAGAAAUAUUUUUGGCUAUUCUCUCCCGGAUUAGGAGUAGAAUAUUUUUGGGUGGUUCUGGAGAUGAAAAUGGAUAUAUGUGGAUGCGUACUUCUGGAGUAGAAGCAGCAUGUAUGAGUGAACGUGCAAGUGAAUCUUGAUUUAACCACAUGACAAGCUCCUACGGGUAUACACAGCUUGACCACACUCAAUGCUCAUAAGCAGUAAAAAGUAAAUGUGUGGCUCAAAGUCUAGAAAGCAUGUAUAUAUGGCUGUGGUAGGAAUUUAAACUCUCAUCAUAAAGGAACUCAUCAUGUGUUAUUUUAAAGAUUUUCAAAGAUAAAAUUCUCCAGAAUUCUAGCAUGUCUAGGAACAGAUAAACAACAGCUCAACCUUCCCAUAUCGUAUCCGUUAACGACUUAAACUUAAUAUCAAGUACUCUUCCCACAAAUUCAGGUUUAGAGCAAAUCUUAAUUAAUAACAGUCAGGCCUAAACUUGAGAGAGAUUUCAAUUUUGAGAACUAGUCAUGGCAGAGCAACUAUUCAUCAUUUCCAUGUGAGAGCUUAUCAUGAGCGUUCAUAGCAAACUUUAUUUAUUUAUUUAUUUAGCAAACUAAGCAAAGAUAUAUAUAUAUAAGCACAAAAUCUUUAUUUGGAUUUUUAUGAUUAUGCAUCUUUUUAUUUUUCAGCUAAAGUAUAAACGUGAGUAGAACACUUAGCUGGAUAAAUGGUGGUGCUCUCUCCCAAGCUAGAUUUUGACGUAAUUUCUCUAGUGUAGCUAGCAGGUGGCGGAGGUGUAUUCGAAUGUCAGCAGCACUCUGACAGCGAUUAGGAUGUCCUCCGUCUGCUAGUCUUCUUGGAUCCUUGAAUUAUGUGGAGCUCAAAUAGACAACAAAGCUUUGUGGAACUAGUUAAGUGUUAGCAUAAAUAUCUAGCCUUUAUCAUGUUGAGCCUCCUCAAUAAAUGUUACUCUCUUUAGUAGGAUCAUAAAUUUAUUUUUAUAAUUUUAUUUUUAUAGGACAGGAAUAUAUUUAUUUCAUUUUUACGCCACCACAGUGACACAGUGAAUGUACUUAUGAGUUUUAUGCCAUGAGCAUACUCACAUGGGGCUUACUAUUUUUAACAUUUUUAUUUUCUUUUUGAGAUGAUAUGUACCAGAUUAACUAAGCAAACUAUUUUAAAUAAUUGAAAGAAAAGGGAUAACUACCAAGUUUACCUCUUGGCAAUGUGUUCGAUGUUUUUAAGUCCUCCGAACAGGACUCUCCGUUUUCUCAGUCGUCCUGGGAUUCGCUGGAUGGCGUAGUCGUGGUUCCGGCGGCGUCUGCUCUUCAUGUAUAACUAUCUUCUUUCUCCAUACCUGACUCGGUGCUACGGUCUCCUCAGGACAGUUAUGUUCAAGCUGUAUGUCUUCAGACAUUAUCACUUCUCCUUCGUAGUUCGCCCAUCCGUCCUUGAUGAUUUGCCUUCUCUGGUUGUGGAUGCGUCGUCUUCUUCUUGUCCUGACCUGCUUAGAGUCUUCAACUAUAUAGUUAGGGUCAGUAAAAUAGCGGCGUACCUUCUCAGAGGGGAAGUUCAUGUGGACUUCUCCGGUUCCAAUGUAGAUGAUUAUUUUAACGGUGCUGAGGAACUGUCUCCCAAGGAUGAUGGGUGGAUCGUACUCGUCUUCUCCCAUGUCAAUGUUGGGUAUUCUUAACAUCAUUACUAAAAGUAGACUAAGUUCUAAAUCUAGCAACGGUGCCAAAAAUGCCAAACCUAUCCCUCACACCACUUAAGCCAAGUUGUCAUCCCCAGCAUGACAUGAGAGACGCGGUAUUGAAAUAUGCAAUUGCUCUUCUAAAUAAAUAAUGAAUGGGAUCUGCAAGCGCACAGAUUAAUACCGAUGCAGCAUUUUAACCGGGAAGUAUUCCAGGUAUCGUUAUUUAUAUUUUUACCACUGGGAAGGGAUUAGCAAUCAUCACUAAUGACUACAGAAUAGAAUAUGAGAAUGAGCAUCUAUCAUUGCAUGUAUAAUUGAGAACAUUAUAUCUAACUCUUCAUACAGGGAUAAGUGUCGCAUAAAAGAUAUAUGAAAUAACAAUAGUGACAAGGAUAACUAAUCUGAUCUAGCCACAUAAUAAAUAUGAUAAGCACCUCAAUUAGAUACUCUAGAAAGUCAUUAGCAUGGUAUUAGAACGAACUACAAGAAUAUUCCCUAAGUUAUUCUUAACUAUAUAGUCUAGCAUUAUCAUAGUUAGUGCAAGCAUACUUAGCAAUCAUUGUGAGACAAGACUACGCCCAUGCAUAGUGAUAUUAGCAAGGAAUAUGAGAAACAUAGCAAUCACUCCCCUGUAAUAAUGUUGCUCUGCCAGCCCAAUACACGAGAGGGGGACUAUAUAAGAAUCAAUGAAGCUGUCACUAUCACGAACCACCCCACGAUCUGGCAUAUUGGGUACAAUCGCACAUAAAUACGGUAUAAGCACCACGCCUACACAAUAUCUAUCAUUUAACCAUGGAUCCGAUGGAUAAACGCUAUACGAUCUUAAGCAUGUAUAUAGAUCGUAUCUAACUAAGCCAAGUACAUAACUAUGAUAAACUAAGAACAAUAUAAUCUUGAAUAUAAGCAAGUAGAGCAAAGUCAUAAGCAAUAUAUUGAAGUAGAACAAAGUCAUAUUCAUAAUACUGAAGAACAAAGAUAAUUAGAAAGCAAUUAGAAGCACAAUUAGAGACUUACCAAGAAUCCUCCUGACAGAUCUGGAAACCAAUCGAAGAUUGACUUCUUCUAGUUCUAAUCCUAUGUAGCUAUGCUAAUCUAGAUGUCUAAUUGAUGUGGUGGCUCUAAUCUUGAUCAGAGGCUUCUUCUCCCUUGAUGGAACAAUGAAUUAGGGUUGAGAGGCUCUCUCCUCCAGGGGCCAGGGGGUCUGGUUUUAUAGUCUCUACAAGUGAAUAUGGGCCCUUGGGUCAAACCGACAUAGAUUGUAUGGUUUAGAUUCAUCCUUUAGGUCGGUGGAGACUUCCCGCAAAGCAGAGUCCUGUUUGGACUCCAACAGGGGGCGGGCGCCCAGUAGGACAGGGCGGGCGCCCUGUCUCUGGCCCCGUUUCGCCUCCGCUUCGGUCUCGUGGCUUCUGGAGUCUUCUAGAUGUAAGAUAAUUGCGCAGCACGUUAAUAUCUUUACGUAAUCCUGACAUGUGGGCCUUUCUUCCGUAUUUCCUGAUAACCUCCUGCAGAAAUAGACAAACACCAAAACUCGUGGAAUUCUGUUAGAUAAAACCCUAAGUCUAGAUCUUGAUUUCAUUUGGAUCCUUUUCUUUAUUUAUUUGAUAAUUAAAUUUGAUACUUAAGGACCGUCAACAAACUCCCCCAAACUUACCUCUUGCUCAUCCCUGAGCAAGGAUAGACUCAGCUAUGGACCAGAAGUAGUUGCAAUUUGACGGUACACAUGCUUUUUAAAUAAGAUCUCAUCUCUGAGUGAGAGUAAACUGUCAAGACUUAAAACUUACUUACUUUACCUUCACCAUGGGACUUGUAACUGUCACUUCUGUCUUGAGUAGUUAAAAGAUAGAACAGUUUAGCCAAGUGCCAUGUCUCUUAUUCUUGAUCAGCUAUAGCUCUAGAGUUUUUGUAGAUUUUCAAAUAAAACUCAGAAAUUCCUUGUAUGAUUCUCUCAGGUCUCUCUUUUGUGGUAUUUUUGGAUCCUUACCAAGGCAGUGAUGGUAUAUGCCUUCUCUCAAGAUAUGUAGUAUUUGUGGUAUGAGGCAUAGUGACAUUGCCUUUUCUCUCACCCUACUCUAAUAAGGCUUUAAUAUCUGGAGUUCAUAGGUGGGAGAUAAAGUAUACAUACUUAGAAGACAUUUAUUGCAUAGUCAAACCAUGGAUCCAAAGAAACAAAUCAAUAAGCCAAAUCAAGAUGUGCAUGUGUGGCGAAUGAAUGGUGUAUGGUGAUAAUGGUGAUAACAAUGGUGGAAACAAUGGUGGUGGAAGUCUAAUUCUACUUUGCUCUUUUGAGGGGAUACAUACCUUCCUUGCUUUUGAAACUUUAUGAGGAGAAUGAGAUGCUCUUCUUUUUCUUGUCUCCCAGGUGGGCAUCUUGCACCCCUAAUUCUACUGUCGGACACUUGUCCAUUUUUACCUCUCGUCUCACUUUUUUUUUUGAGGUUCCGAGCACUAGCUCCUUUUUAUUUCUUCGUAUCUCUUUUUUUUAGAGCACUCAUCUCAUGAGAUAAUAUAGCAAGUGGUAGUAACAAGAUAACUUGAGCAUUUAUUUUACAAAGGGAAAAAUAGAAAUAUUUAUUUUUUUUUGGUUAUUCUCUCCCGGAUUAGGAGUAGAAUAUUUUUGGGUGAUUCUGGAGAUGGAAAUGGAUGGAUAUAUGUGGAUGGUACUUCCGGAGUAGAAGUAGCAUAUAUGAGUGGACGUGCAAGUGAAAUCUUGAUUUAACCACAUGACAAGCUCCUAAGGGUCUACACAGCUUGACCACACUCAAUGCUCAUAAGCAGUAAAUAAUAAAUGUGUGGCUCAAAGUCUAGCAAGUAUGCAUAUAUGGCUGUGGUAGGAAUUUAAGCUCUCAUCAUACAGGAACUCAUCAUGCAAUAUUUUAAAGAUUUUCAAAGAUAAAAUUCUCCAGAAUUCUAGCAUCUCUAGGAACAGAUAAACAGCAGCUCAACCUUCUCAUAUCAUAUCCGUUAACAACUUAGACUUCAGAUCAAAUUUUCAUCCCACAAGUUUAGGUCUAGAGCAAGCCUUAAAUUAUAACAGUUAUAUCUAAACUUGAGAGAGAACUUAAAAUUUGCAAAUUAGGCAGAGCAACUAUUUAUCAUAUCCAUGCUUAAGUUUUAUUUAGAUACAGAUUAGCAUAGCCACUUUAUUUAUUUAUUAAACACACUAAGCAAAAG
This 26984-nucleotide long non-coding RNA is filed under the name Sorghum bicolor (sorghum). RNAcentral describes it as "long non-coding RNA (SBIC_LNC008434)". The stretch from base 5975 to 6081 matches the Rfam family "Plant small nucleolar RNA R71". The record is from RNAcentral. Lineage: Eukaryota; Viridiplantae; Streptophyta; Magnoliopsida; Poales; Poaceae.